Molecule: ribosomal RNA, 504 nt
Filed under: uncultured bacterium
Lineage: Bacteria
Description: partial 16S ribosomal RNA
Rfam family: Bacterial small subunit ribosomal RNA
Source: RNAcentral
GAUGAACGCUAGCGGCAGGCCUAAUACAUGCAAGUCGAACGGGAUCUGAGGGUAGCUUGCUACCCGAUUUGAGAGUGGCGCACGGGUGCGUAACGCGUGAGCAACCUACCCAUAUCAGGGGGAUAGCCCGAAGAAAUUCGGAUUAACACCGCAUAAUAAUACGCUAACACAUGUUGAUGUAUUUAAAUAUUUAUAGGAUAUGGAUGGGCUCGCGUGACAUUAGCUAGUUGGUAAGGUAACGGCUUACCAAGGCGACGAUGUCUAGGGGCUCUGAGAGGAGCAUCCCCCACACGGGUACUGAGACACGGACCAGACUCCUGCGGGAGGCAGCAGUAAGGAAUAUUGGUCAAUGGGCGCAAGCCUGAACCAGCCAUGCCGCGUGCAGGAUGACUGCCCUAUGGGUUGUAAACUGCUUUUGUUAGGGAAUAAACCUUCUUACGUGUAAGGAGCUGAAUGUACCUAAAGAAUAAGGAUCGGCUAACUCCGUGCCAGCCGCCGCCGUAA